GACUAUGGACAGGCAUAUAUAUAAUGUGGCGAGGUAAAACAGGUUUUUGAACGACCAUCCCUCUAACGACAGUGAUAAAACAGCCCAACAAAAGAAUACAAUUUUAAAACCAGUUAGAUUAAAGCAACAUUAUUUAGUCUGGGAUUUAUUCAUUAGUUGUAAAUGGCUAUGAACUAGCUUUCAGUAACUGAAACGACCGACAUACUCUUUUAGCAGUGCAACUACCAUACAUAUACAACUGUGAUCACCAUCUGUUACCAUGAAACACUUAUUGACCUGUCUACUCAUUUUUGUGACUGUUCAUGACAUUGAUGCUUCAUUAUGCACUACUGCCUACAAGGAAAAGGUUGGGCGUGUUGUGUUUGGUGAAGCAAGUGGGGAAUCAGCAAAAGGACAGCUAGAGGUUGCAUAUACGAUAAUGAACAGAAUAAGUCAUGCCGGAUUCCCAAAUUCAUUAGACGGUGUUGUAGAUCAGACAUAUACAUCAGGUGGAAAAACGUAUCAUCAUUAUAACACAUUAGAUGAUUCUGGUCACGACCAAAGAUGGAAAGCUUCAAAAAUACCCGGAGCAAUAGAACAUGCAGCGUAUAAUUCCGCUAUAACUCAAGCCGGGCAUGCGCUUUGUGCGACAAAGUCUGAUCCUAUGAGUUGUGGUCCGGUGAAUUUUUGUACCACAAAUCCGUGUGCAUCUACCAACAGUAAUAAGUAUUGGUGUGUUACCGAGAAAAAAAAGAUCGGAUCUCAUUGGUUUACUUGCAGCAAGAAAAAAACAGGAAAAUGCUGAACUAUGAUAAUCAAAAUUGUCUUAUCUUACGUUUCUAAUAUGAGAUAAAUAACAAAAUAAACAAAGAAGUAUGAAUAUCACUGA
Mytilus californianus (California mussel) is the source of this 868-nucleotide long non-coding RNA. RefSeq lists it as uncharacterized. NCBI's taxonomy places the organism in Eukaryota, Metazoa, Mollusca, Bivalvia, Mytilida, Mytilidae. The record is from RefSeq and is a predicted model, not a curated record. The transcript is spliced from 3 exons.